RNAcentral lists this ribosomal RNA (452 nucleotides) under uncultured Streptococcus sp. RNAcentral describes it as "bacterial SSU rRNA". It matches the Rfam family "Bacterial small subunit ribosomal RNA", at positions 929 to 1382 of the family's 1533-position model. The record is from RNAcentral. Lineage: Bacteria; Bacillati; Bacillota; Bacilli; Lactobacillales; Streptococcaceae.
GCGGUGGAGCAUGUGGUUAAUUCGAAGUAACGCGAAGAACCCUUUACCAGGUCUUGACAUCCCGAUGCUAUUUCUAGAGAUAGAAAGUUACUUCGGUACAUCGGUGACAGGUGGUGCAUGGUUGUCGUCAGCUCGUGUCGUGAGAUGUUGGGUUAAGUCCCGCAACGAGCGCAACCCCUAUUGUUAGUUGCCAUCAUUCAGUUGGGCACUCUAGCGAGACUGCCGGUAAUAAACCGGAGGAAGGUGGGAUGACGUCAAAUCAUCAUGCCCCUUAUGACCUGGGCUACACACGUGCUACAAUGGUUGGUACAACGAGUUGCGAGUCGGUGACGGCGAGCUAAUCUCUUAAAGCCAAUCUCAGUUCGGAUUGUAGGCUGCAACUCGCCUACAUGAAGUCGGAAUCGCUAGUAAUCGCGGAUCAGCACGCCGCGGUGAAUACGUUCCCGGGCCUU